GAUGAACGCUGGCGGCGUGCUUAACACAUGCAAGUCGAGCGAGUGAGUUCUUCGGAACGAUCUAGCGGCGGACGGGUGAGUAACACGUGGGCAACCUGCCUCAUAGAGGGGAAUAGCCUCCCGAAAGGGAGAUUAAUACCGCAUAAAAUUAUCGAGUGGCAUCACAUGAUAAUCAAAGGAGUAAUCCGCUAUGAGAUGGGCCCGCGGUGCAUUAGCUAGUUGGUGAGGUAACGGCUCACCAAGGCGACGAUGCGUAGCCGACCUGAGAGGGUGGUCGGCCAAAUUGGGACUGAGACACGGCCCAGACUCCUACGGGAGGCAGCAGUGGGGAAUAUUGCACAAUGGGGGAAACCCUGAUGCAGCAACGCCGCGUGAGUGAUGAAGGUCUUCGGAUUGUAAAGCUCUGUCUUUGGGGACGAUAAUGACGGUACCCAAGGAGGAAGCCACGGCUAACUACGUGCCAGCCGCCGCCGUAA
RNAcentral lists this ribosomal RNA (476 nucleotides) under uncultured bacterium. RNAcentral's name for it is "partial 16S ribosomal RNA". It matches the Rfam family "Bacterial small subunit ribosomal RNA", at positions 28 to 523 of the family's 1533-position model. The record is from RNAcentral.